UACGAAGGGGGCUAGCGUUGCUCGGAAUCACUGGGCGUAAAGCGCACGUAGGCGGCUUUUUAAGUCAGGGGUGAAAUCCUGGAGCUCAACUCCAGAACUGCCUUUGAUACUGAAGAUCUUGAGUCCGGGAGAGGUGAGUGGAACUGCGAGUGUAGAGGUGAAAUUCGUAGAUAUUCGCAAGAACACCAGUGGCGAAGGCGGCUCACUGGCCCGGUACUGACGCUGAGGCACGAAAACGUGGGGAGCAAACAGG
RNAcentral lists this ribosomal RNA (253 nucleotides) under uncultured bacterium. Its description in RNAcentral is "partial 16S ribosomal RNA". It matches the Rfam family "Bacterial small subunit ribosomal RNA", at positions 524 to 776 of the family's 1533-position model. The record is from RNAcentral.